CUCAUCAAUCUCACAACAACAACAACAAAAUGUCUAAAACAUCAAUCCUUUUACCUUUUCUUCUCCUAAUCAUAUUUGUCUCUACAUCUCAAGCAAAGCGUCAACUCUGGGAUGGUGGUUUACUCGGAUCCAAAUCCGGGGUUAAUAGGAUUCCUGGAUUUAAAGGAAAUGUAGAUUGGAUGAAUCCAACACAUACGUGCACAAUGCAAGGACCUUGUCGUGGUAAGAAGCUCACGUGUCCCGCAGAUUG
RNAcentral lists this long non-coding RNA (250 nucleotides) under Brassica napus (rape). RNAcentral describes it as "long non-coding RNA (BNAP_LNC022635)". Lineage: Eukaryota; Viridiplantae; Streptophyta; Magnoliopsida; Brassicales; Brassicaceae. The record is from RNAcentral.